This 333-nucleotide long non-coding RNA is filed under the name Elaeis guineensis (African oil palm). RNAcentral describes it as "long non-coding RNA (EGUI_LNC046256)". Lineage: Eukaryota; Viridiplantae; Streptophyta; Magnoliopsida; Arecales; Arecaceae. The record is from RNAcentral.
ACCAUACGCCCAUAGCAGUACUCUAUCGAUAUCUAGUUCUUUGAAUUUAUAAUUAUAAAGAAUUCAAAUAAUAAUUUGAAACAGCCCAGUAAAUAAUAAUGAGCACCCCAACUAGAUAAUUCAAAUAGGUUUUCAUAAUAAUCUUAUAUAUAUAAGCAAAGUCAAUAUAUGUUUAAAUAACUCAAAAUAAGUAUAUCAAUAAUUUCUCAAAUACUUGGAUUUCAUAUUCAUAAAUGCAAUUCAAAUAGUCAUAUCCAUAUCUAUACUCAUAUUCAAAGAUGGUUGUAUGCUGUCCAUUUGGCAUAUUAAACUCCAAUCUAGCUCUUGAUCAGA